Vitis vinifera (wine grape) is the source of this 411-nucleotide long non-coding RNA. RefSeq lists it as uncharacterized. The transcript is spliced from 2 exons. The record is from RefSeq and is a predicted model, not a curated record. NCBI's taxonomy places the organism in Eukaryota, Viridiplantae, Streptophyta, Magnoliopsida, Vitales, Vitaceae.
AUUAAAUUAAUUAAUUAAUUAAUUUAAUAAAGUGGAAGAGGGGUAAAAGUGUAAUUUUACGAAUAAAUACCCUAGGUAUAAAUUAGAAAUUUUAUUCUUUCCCUUCUUUUCUGAAUAGAGUUCCUGUUCGCAGAAUUCCAGAGAACGUAAGGUUGGAGUCAGAUUUCAGGGUUGAAGAACAAAUCUCUAUAGGUACUCUUAGUUCGGGUGAGGAGUGAUGGCUAGGCUGAGGAAUGGUCAUCAUUAGGAUUUGACUUAGGAUUUUAUGUUGGAUUUUGUUUAACUAUUAGUUAUGUUAUUUUGGAUCAUUUGGUAUUUGGAAGUUAUUUGAAAAUUGAAUUUUGAGGAAUUUAGAUUUUGUUCCGCUACUCUGAACAGGUAUUUGGUAAUUGGUAACAUCUAGUUACAAUA